GAGACCUCAGGUAAGGCGGGGCUACCCGCUGAGUUUAAGCAUAUCAAUAAGCGGAGGAAAAG
RNAcentral lists this ribosomal RNA (62 nucleotides) under Lespedeza bicolor. RNAcentral describes it as "partial 26S ribosomal RNA". It matches the Rfam family "Eukaryotic large subunit ribosomal RNA", at positions 1 to 61 of the family's 3401-position model. The record is from RNAcentral. Lineage: Eukaryota; Viridiplantae; Streptophyta; Magnoliopsida; Fabales; Fabaceae.